RNAcentral lists this long non-coding RNA (499 nucleotides) under Homo sapiens (human). RNAcentral's name for it is "non-protein coding lnc-TEX22-1:1". The record is from RNAcentral. Lineage: Eukaryota; Metazoa; Chordata; Mammalia; Primates; Hominidae.
CCAAUGAAGAUUCCAGCGGGAUGGCCUGACCAGCGGGGCCGGCACUUUGGAGCCGUGGGUGCAGCCAGGUACCCCGUGCAGGGCCUGGGAGGCUCUCCAGGCCACAGUCCUCAGAGCGUGUUGGGUCCCAUGUUGUGUGUGGGUUCCAUGCCCUCCACACAGCAGGAGAGGGCUUCCCUGACCACACCUGCCCCCUCAGUCCUGCUUCUCCCCAGUAAGCCUGCACUGUGGGGUCUCCAUAGGAGGAGCUGGGGAAGCUGGGGCCCUCCCAGGGGUCCUGAUCGACCCUGGGGGCUCUUGGCCUGGUUUCGUAAGAUGGAGCACUGCAAAAGGCCAUGCUCAGAAAGCAAACGCAGGGCAGGGUGGGCCUCGAGCCGGGGCUGGAGGGGUCUCCACCCUUGCUGGCCUGAGAGAUGGCCCACAUUUCUUACUUGUGACCGCCCUGCUCUUCCUGGCCGCCCCCCCCAGGUGGCUGAACAGGGUGAUUUUGUUGUGGUGA